CAAAGCAUAGCUUAAUCCAAAGCACCUAGCUUACACCUAGAAGAUACCAUACAGAGUGGCUGCUUUGAG
Molecule: transfer RNA, 69 nt
Filed under: Glyphonycteris sylvestris (Tricolored bat)
Lineage: Eukaryota; Metazoa; Chordata; Mammalia; Chiroptera; Phyllostomidae
Description: tRNA-Val
Rfam family: tRNA
About the family: Transfer RNA (tRNA) molecules are approximately 80 nucleotides in length. Their secondary structure includes four short double-helical elements and three loops (D, anti-codon, and T loops). Further hydrogen bonds mediate the characteristic L-shaped molecular structure. tRNAs have two regions of fundamental functional importance: the anti-codon, which is responsible for specific mRNA codon recognition, and the 3' end, to which the tRNAs corresponding amino acid is attached (by aminoacyl-tRNA synthetases). tRNAs cope with the degeneracy of the genetic code in two manners: having more than one tRNA (with a specific anti-codon) for a particular amino acid; and 'wobble' base-pairing, i.e. permitting non-standard base-pairing at the 3rd anti-codon position.
Source: RNAcentral